Molecule: ribosomal RNA, 431 nt
Filed under: Fallicambarus danielae
Lineage: Eukaryota; Metazoa; Arthropoda; Malacostraca; Decapoda; Cambaridae
Description: partial 16S ribosomal RNA
Rfam family: Bacterial large subunit ribosomal RNA (bases 80-431)
Source: RNAcentral
AUUAGUUUUUUAAUUGAAGGCUGGAAUGAAAGGUUGGUCAAGAGAUAGUCUGUCUUAAAAAAAAAUAUUGAAUUUAACUUUUAAGUGAAAAGGCUUAAAUGAUUUGAAGGGACGAUAAGACCCUAUAAAACUUUAUAUUUAAGGAUAUAGACUAUUUUUAUUUGUGAACUAUUAUCAAAAGUAUUUGGUUGGGGUGACAGGGAUAGAAUAUAAAGUAACUGUCCUUUUUUUUUAACAAUAAUAUUUGACUUAGCGAUCCCUGGGAAGGAUUAAAGAUUAAGUUACUUUAGGGAUAACAGCGUGAUUUUCUUUGAGAGUUCUUAUCGACGGGAGAGUUUGCGACCUCGAUGUUGAAUUAAAGGUUCUUUAUGGAGUAGAGACUAUAAUAGAAGGUCUGUUCGACCUUUAAAAUUUUACAUGAUUUGAGUUCA